GAGGAAUAUUGGGCAAUGCCCGCAAGGGUGACCCAGCAACGCCGCGUGGAGGAUGAAUGUCGUAAGAUUGUAAACUCCUGUUAGAGGGGAAGAAUAGUACCGGUUGGACCGGUAUAUGACUGUACCCUCAGAGAAAGCCCCGGCUAACUACGUGCCAGCAGCCGCGGUAAUACGUAGGGGGCAAGCGUUGUCCGGAUUUACUGGGUGUAAAGGGCGCGCAGGCGGGAUAAAAAGUCAGUGGUGAAAUCCUACAGCUUAACUGUAGAACUGCCUUUGAUACUUUUAUUCUUGAGUUCGGGAGAGAGAGACGGAAUUCCAGGUGUAGUGGUGAAAUACGUAGAUAUCUGGAAGAACACCAGUUGCGAAGGCGGUCUCUUGGUCCGACACUGACGCUGAGGCGCGAAAGCGUGGGGAGCAAAC
Molecule: ribosomal RNA, 420 nt
Filed under: uncultured bacterium
Lineage: Bacteria
Description: bacterial SSU rRNA
Rfam family: Bacterial small subunit ribosomal RNA
Source: RNAcentral